GCUAGCAGCCAUAUCACCCUGCUACUCACAACUGGCAGCCCACUGGAGCUCAGCAGGUGUGAGCCUGGUCAGUACCUGGAUGGGAGACCUCCUGGGAAAAAACGAAGGUUGCUGCUGGUA
RNAcentral lists this ribosomal RNA (120 nucleotides) under Lepisosteus oculatus (spotted gar). Lineage: Eukaryota; Metazoa; Chordata; Actinopteri; Semionotiformes; Lepisosteidae. The record is from RNAcentral.